RNAcentral lists this ribosomal RNA (252 nucleotides) under uncultured bacterium. RNAcentral's name for it is "partial 16S ribosomal RNA". It matches the Rfam family "Bacterial small subunit ribosomal RNA", at positions 524 to 777 of the family's 1533-position model. The record is from RNAcentral.
UACAGAGGUCCCGAGCGUUGUUCGGAUUCACUGGGCGUAAAGGGUGCGCAGGUGGGUUUGCAAGUUCGAUGUGAAAGCCCCGGGCUUAACCCGGGAAUGGCAUUGGAUACUGCAGAUCUGGAGGAUCGGAGGGGGACUGGAAUUCUUGGUGUAGCAGUGAAAUGCGUAGAUAUCAAGAGGAACACCAGUGGCGAAGGCGAGUCCCUGGACGAUACCUGACACUGAGGCACGAAAGCCGGGGAGCAAACAGGA